GGUAGGUCAAUCCGAAAGCUGGCGACGGAAACUGGUUUGAACCCAGUCGAGUGUAGUGAUACGCCUUGAGAGUUCGACCCUCUCACCUACCGCCA
This 95-nucleotide transfer RNA is filed under the name Vibrio phage VPG01. RNAcentral describes it as "tRNA-Ser". Lineage: Duplodnaviria; Heunggongvirae; Uroviricota; Caudoviricetes; Demerecviridae. The record is from RNAcentral.